Long non-coding RNA from Chionomys nivalis (European snow vole), 592 nucleotides. RefSeq lists it as uncharacterized. The transcript is spliced from 3 exons. NCBI's taxonomy places the organism in Eukaryota, Metazoa, Chordata, Mammalia, Rodentia, Cricetidae. The record is from RefSeq and is a predicted model, not a curated record.
AUGUGUUGCAGCCUGAUAGAGGCCAUCAGAUACACUGGAACUGUAGCAGCUGUGUGAUUGCUGUGAGCCGCCAUGUGGGUGCUUGCAGUUGAAUCUGGAUCCUCUGGAAGAGAAGUGUUCUUAACCAAGGAGGCAUCUCUCCAGCCCCUAGAGCUAUGGGUUGAAGAGCCAGCAGACUCUCUUCGGCACCAUGUACUGGCCUUUUAGAUUCUUCAGAAGAAAUACGUGCCCUGAAACAAUCCAGCUUCCCAGAUACCCUCUGGCACGGUGCUCCCAGGAAGAAGAACUUGGCCUCCUCCGUCCACCAGAGCCUCUCCCGAAGACCCUCAGGCCUCUCAGACAUGAGCUUGGUUCACUUUUAAGCUCACGUCUCUCGAGUGUGACUUUGUUCACCUUCACACACAUUUUCCUAGGUUAACACAACAGACUACCUCUGGUGGCACACUUGUGAACUGUCUCCAGCCCUUCCCUCCUUAGCAGAGCAGCCUUGGCCAUUUUCUUUCCCGAUGACAGAGCCCCUGGGUCAAAGGAUGCAGUUUCAGUUUGAGUUUUUGUUUAAUGAAAAUGGGUGACUAGGUAAGUGUGUGUUGAA